This 309-nucleotide ribosomal RNA is filed under the name uncultured archaeon. RNAcentral describes it as "partial 16S ribosomal RNA". It matches the Rfam family "Archaeal small subunit ribosomal RNA", at positions 104 to 414 of the family's 1478-position model. The record is from RNAcentral.
GUAACCUACCCUCAGGANUGAGAUAACCCCGGGAAANUGGGGCUAAUAUUAGAUAGAUAAAAGRUACUGGAAUGUUCUUUUAUCCAAAGCUUUUGCGCCUGAGGAUGGGCCUGCGUCCGAUUAGGUUGUUGGUGGGGUAAUGGCCCACCAAGCCUGCGAUCGGUACGGGCAGUGRGAGCUGAAGCCCGGAGUUGGGGACUGAGACAAGGCCCCAGGCCCUACGGGGCGCAGCAGGSGCGNAAACCUCUGCAAUGCGGGAAACCGUGACAGGGGGAUCCCAAGUGCUCAUGCAUUGCAUGGGCUGUNCUU